Paramormyrops kingsleyae is the source of this 375-nucleotide long non-coding RNA. RefSeq lists it as uncharacterized. The record is from RefSeq and is a predicted model, not a curated record. NCBI's taxonomy places the organism in Eukaryota, Metazoa, Chordata, Actinopteri, Osteoglossiformes, Mormyridae.
AUAAAAGUCGCGCACGUGAUACGUCAUGUCCUCUUUAUGUCGACGUCUCUGUAGGAAGGCGUGUCUCACAAUAUGAGGGCUAAGUGGAGGAAGAAACGCAUGCGCAGGCUGAAGCGCAAGAGGCGAAAGAUGAGGCAGAGGUCUAAGUAAACCACCCUCCCCUCACCACAGUCAACCUGCGGCUGCAGUACAUGCUGGCUUUUAACAGAGACUGACUUUCCAGAUGAGCCCGAGAUGGACUGGCACUAAAUGCAGCUCUAAGGGAAUGGCUCACUGCCAAAUGACUGCUGACAGCAGUGCGUGGAGUAACUCUCGGGAUGUUCUGAAAUACAGUUUACCUAUUUAGCAAUUUGAAUAAAAAAAUGUUCAAUUGUG